Molecule: ribosomal RNA, 1518 nt
Filed under: uncultured Bordetella sp.
Lineage: Bacteria; Pseudomonadati; Pseudomonadota; Betaproteobacteria; Burkholderiales; Alcaligenaceae
Description: partial 16S-23S ribosomal RNA intergenic spacer
Rfam family: Bacterial small subunit ribosomal RNA
Source: RNAcentral
AGUUUGAUCCUGGCUCAGAUUGAAACGCUGGCGGGAUGCUUUACACAUGCAAGUCGAACGGCAGCACGGACUUCGGUCUGGUGGCGAGUGGCGAACGGGUGAGUAAUGUAUCGGAACGUGCCUAGUAGCGGGGAUAACUACGCGAAAGCGUAGCUAAUACCGCAUACGCCCUUCGGGGGAAAGCGGGGACCUUCGGGCCUCGCACUAUUAGAGCGGCCGAUAUCGGAUUAGCUAGUUGGUGGGGUAACGGCUCACCACAUGACGAUCCGUAGCUGGUUUGAGAGGACGACCAGCCACACUGGGACUGAGACACGGCCCAGACUCCUACGGGAGGCAGCAGUGGGGAAUUUUGGACAAUGGGGGAAACCCCUGAUCCCAGCCAUCCCGGCGUGUGUGCGAUGAAGGCCUUCGGGUUGUAAAGCACUUUUGGCAGGAAAGAAACGGCACGGGAUAAUACCCCGUGCAACUGACGGUACCUGCAGAAUAAGCACCGGCUAACCACGUGCCAGCAGCCGCGGUAAUACGUAGGUGCAAGUUAAUCGGAAUUACUGGGCGUAAAGCGUGCGCAGGCGGUUCGGAAAGAAAGAUGUGAAAUCCCAGAGCUUAACUUUGGAACUGCAUUUUUAACUACCGAGCUUGAGUGUGUCAGAGGGAGGUGGAAUUCGCGUGUAGCAGUGAAAUGCGUAGAUAUGCGGAGGAACACCGAUGGCGAAGGCAGCCUCCUGGGAUAACACUGACGCUCAUGCACGAAAGCGUGGGGAGCAAACAGGAUUAGAUACCCUGGUAGUCCACGCCCUAAACGAUGUCAACUAGCUGUUAGGGCCUUCGGGCCUUGGUAGCGCAGCUAACGCGUGAAGUUGACCGCCUGGGGAGUACGGUCGCAAGAUUAAAACUCAAAGGAAUUGACGGGGACCCGCACAAGCGGUGGAUGAUGUGGAUUAAUUCGAUGCAACGCGAAAAACCUUACCUACCCUUGACAUGUCUGGAAUCCCGAAGAGAUUUGGGAGUGCUCUGCAAGAGAACCGGAACACAGGUGCUGCAUGGCUGUCGUCAGCUCGUGUCGUGAGAUGUUGGGUUAAGUCCCGCAACGAGCGCAACCCUUUGUCAUUAGUUGCUACGAAAGGGCACUCUAAUGAGACUGCCGGUGACAAACCGGAGGAAGGUGGGGUGGAUGACGUCAAGUCCCCAUGGCCCUUAUGGGUAGGGCUUCACACGUCAUACAAUGGUCGGGACAGAGGGUCGCCAACCCGCGAGGGGGAGCCAAUCCCAGAAACCCGAUCGUAGUCCGGAUCGCAGUCUGCGACCUGACUGCGUGAAGUCGGAAUCGCUAGUAAUCGCGGAUCAGCAUGUCGCGGUGAAUACGUUCCCGGGUCUUGUACACACCGCCCGUCACACCAUGGAGUGGGUUUUACCAGAAGUAGUUAGCCUAACCGUAAGGAGGGCGAUUACCACGGUAGGAUUCAUGACUGGGGUGAAGUCGUAACAAGGUAACCUCCCAGCCAUUACCUUGAUGCUCCC